ACCUCUUGGCUAAGACUUUUCAAUUGAUCCCAAUAAUACCUCUUAGGGGAGGUAAUAUUGGAAGGUUGUUGAAUUAGUAAGUGAUAUGCUCAUCACUCCUUUUCUUCUUCUUACUCUCUUUUUAUCUCGCCCUCUCUUUCCCCUCCAUCCAUACAAUCCCUUAGAAGGCUCUUCGGAGGUGUAUUACUUAUCGGGCUUGAUCUGAAUUCUCACGCUCUCUUGAAUCCUCCAGGGUACUCAGGCCUCGUGCUUGGUACACUUUCUAGAAGGCGCCG
This 275-nucleotide long non-coding RNA is filed under the name Amborella trichopoda. RNAcentral describes it as "long non-coding RNA (ATRI_LNC004603)". Lineage: Eukaryota; Viridiplantae; Streptophyta; Magnoliopsida; Amborellales; Amborellaceae. The record is from RNAcentral.